CAGAGCGGCGGAUGCCGGGAAGUUGGUCAAACUUGAUCAUUUAGAGGAAGUAAAAGUCGUAACAAGGUUUCCGUAGGUGAACCUGCGGAAGGAUCAUUACCGAUAACAAUGAAUCCAAAAAGGUUAUCAUUAACCUCUGUGAACCGUACACAACCUUUAGGGGUCGGUGAUGGUGCCGUUAAAUGGUCGUUCGUCCGUUGAUUCGGCGUUCGGCCAGCCCCGCCUUUUGUAACGCACUUGAAUGUACCAGUCUGAAACCUUGCUGCCUGUCCUGCCAGGUGGUAGUGUAAACGAAAAUGAGAGAGACAACUUUUAACGGUGGAUCUCUUGGCUCACGUAUCGAUGAAGAACGCAGCCAGCUGCGAUAAGUAGUGUGAAUUGCAGAAUUCAGUGAAUCAUUGAAUCUUUGAACGCAAAUGGCGCUCUUGGGUUCUCCCAGGAGCAUGUCUGUCUGAGUGUCGGAUAUCAUCCAACGCACUUGAGUGUGCGGAAUUGAGGCGUCACGGCGUCACACAACUCGCCGUGUCCCUCGAAGGAAAGCGUGCUAGACUCGCAUCGUGCGGUUUCAAACCUGCACUCCACAUGCGAAGGCUAAAACUAUUUUGUCCUUCGUCGGAGUGCGGGUCCGCCACAGCGCGAGCCGGCCGAAAAAGGUGGGCGACACUUAACAUCUGACCUC
RNAcentral lists this unclassified non-coding RNA (679 nucleotides) under Astroides calycularis. Its description in RNAcentral is "sequence contains ITS1, 5.8S rRNA gene and ITS2". The stretch from base 308 to 461 matches the Rfam family "5.8S ribosomal RNA". The record is from RNAcentral. Lineage: Eukaryota; Metazoa; Cnidaria; Anthozoa; Scleractinia; Dendrophylliidae.